This 253-nucleotide ribosomal RNA is filed under the name uncultured bacterium. Its description in RNAcentral is "partial 16S ribosomal RNA". It matches the Rfam family "Bacterial small subunit ribosomal RNA", at positions 524 to 776 of the family's 1533-position model. The record is from RNAcentral.
UACGUAGGUGGCAAGCGUUGUCCGGAAUUAUUGGGCGUAAAGCGCGCGCAGGCGGCCUUUUAAGUCUGAUGUGAAAGCCCACGGCUCAACCGUGGAAGGUCAUUGGAAACUGGGAGGCUUGAGUAUAGGAGAGGAAAGUGGAAUUCCACGUGUAGCGGUGAAAUGCGUAGAGAUGUGGAGGAACACCAGUGGCGAAGGCGACUUUCUGGCCUAUUACUGACGCUGAGGCGCGAAAGCGUGGGGAGCAAACAGG